Molecule: ribosomal RNA, 253 nt
Filed under: uncultured bacterium
Lineage: Bacteria
Description: partial 16S ribosomal RNA
Rfam family: Bacterial small subunit ribosomal RNA
Source: RNAcentral
UACGUAGGUGGCAAGCGUUGUCCGGAUUUAUUGGGUUUAAAGGGUGCGUAGGCGGUCUAUUAAGUCAGUGCUGAAAUAUCCCGGCUUAACCGGGAGGGUGGCAUUGAUACUGAUGGACUUGAGUGCAGUCGAGGUAGGCGGAAUUGACGGUGUAGCGGUGAAAUGCUUAGAUAUCGUCAAGAACACCGAUAGUGAAGACAGCUUACUAGACUGUAACUGACGCUGCGGCACGAAAGUGUGGGGAUCAAACAGG